This 302-nucleotide ribosomal RNA is filed under the name uncultured bacterium. RNAcentral's name for it is "partial 16S ribosomal RNA". It matches the Rfam family "Bacterial small subunit ribosomal RNA", at positions 508 to 807 of the family's 1533-position model. The record is from RNAcentral.
GCAGCAGCCGCGGGAAUACGGAGGGUGCAAGCGUUAAUCGGAAUUACUGGGCGUAAAGCGCACGCAGGCGGUCUGACAAGUCAGAUGUGAAAUCCCCGGGCUUAACCUGGGAACUGCAUUUGAAACUGUCAGGCUGGAGUCUUGUAGAGGGGGGUGGAAUUCCAGGUGUAGCGGUGAAAUGCGUAGAGAUCUGGAGGAAUACCGGUGGCGAAGGCGGCCCCCUGGACAAAGACUGACGCUCAGGUGCGAAAGCGUGGGGAGCAAACAGGAUUAGAUACCCCUGUAGUCCCUGUCUCUUAUAC